This is a non-coding RNA of Arachis ipaensis, 191 nucleotides long. The record is from RefSeq and is a predicted model, not a curated record. Lineage: Eukaryota; Viridiplantae; Streptophyta; Magnoliopsida; Fabales; Fabaceae.
CUUCGUCAGCAUGGAAGAGGCAAAGAAGAACAUGUAUGCCUUUAGCACCACCACCUACACAGGAUUCCAGUGCACUGUUAACGAAGCAACAUCUGAGAAAUUCAAGGGGUUGCCUGGUGUUCUUUGGGUGCUGCCAGACUCGUAUAUAGAUGUUAAAAACAAAGACUAUGGAGGUGACAAAUACAUACAUU